GANCGCUCAGGACGAACGCUGGCGGCAUGCCUAAUACAUGCAAGUCGAGCGGACUUGAAGAGAAGCUUGCUUCUCUGACGGUUAGCGGCGGACGGGUGAGUAACACGUAGGCAACCUGCCCUCAAGCUUGGGACAACUACCGGAAACGGUAGCUAAUACCGAAUACUUGUUUUCUUCGCCUGAAGGAAACUGGAAAGACGGAGCAAUCUGUCACUUGGGGAUGGGCCUGCGGCGCAUUAGCUAGUUGGUGAGGUAACGGCUCACCAAGGCGACGAUGCGUAGCCGACCUGAGAGGGUGAUCGGCCACACUGGGACUGAGACACGGCCCAGACUCCUACGGGAGGCAGCAGUAGGGAAUCUUCCGCAAUGGGCGAAAGCCUGACGGAGCAAUGCCGCGUGAGUGAUGAAGGUUUUCGGAUCGUAAAGCUCUGUUGCCAGGGAAGAACGCUUGGGAGAGUAACUGCUCUCAAGGUGACGGUACCUGAGAAGAAAGCCCCGGCUAACUACGUGCCAGCAGCCGCGGUAAUACGUAGGGGGCAAGCGUUGUCCGGAAUUAUUGGGCGUAAAGCGCGCGCAGGCGGUCAUGUAAGUCUGGUGUUUAAUCCCGGGGCUCAACCCCGGAUCGCACUGGAAACUGYGUGACUUGAGUGCAGAAGAGGAGAGUGGAAUUCCACGUGUAGCGGUGAAAUGAGUAGAGAUGUGGAGGAACACCCAGUGGCGAAGGCGACUCUCUGGGCUGUAACURACGCUAGG
Molecule: ribosomal RNA, 753 nt
Filed under: bacterium EAB-2EM27.02
Lineage: Bacteria
Description: bacterial SSU rRNA
Rfam family: Bacterial small subunit ribosomal RNA
Source: RNAcentral